CCUAAUCUCUUCUUCUCAGAUCCCCAUGAAUAAGGACAGGCCUGGAGGGCAGGGCUCUGGCAAUUUCCCUAAGAGAUACAGAGUCCCAGAGUUCUGUUUGGUUUCUAGGUUGUGACCCUAUUCCCCGAUUGUACCGAAACCCGUUGUCUCCUCAGAUGAAAUUAGUCCCGCCCCAGUGACCUCACUUAACCUUAAUUACCUCUUUAAAGACCAUAUCUCCAAAUAUGGUCACAUUCUUCAGUACUGGGGGUUAGGAUUUCAGCGUGUGAAUUCUGUAGGAUGCAAUUCAACCUGGAACACCCCACAUCCAAUCUGUGAAUGAAUCCCAGCAGUUCCACCUUCACAACAUAUCGGGAACCCAGCCGCCUCUCCCCACCUUCCCUAUUGUCUUCCUGGUCUAAGCCAUUGCUGACUGCCAUCUGCACCAACCACACUUGCCUCCUAGCAGCCAACGGUGCCCCUGAAUUCCCUUCUCCAGGGUCUUGCUUUGUCACCCACUGGAGUGCAAUGGUGCAAUCUCAGGUCAUUGCAACCUCUGCCUCCUGGACUCAAGCGAUCCUCCCACCUCGGCCUCCAGAGAGCUGGGACCACAGGCACCGCC
Molecule: long non-coding RNA, 601 nt
Filed under: Homo sapiens (human)
Lineage: Eukaryota; Metazoa; Chordata; Mammalia; Primates; Hominidae
Description: HSALNT0071536
Source: RNAcentral